Long non-coding RNA from Peromyscus californicus insignis, 1782 nucleotides. RefSeq lists it as uncharacterized. NCBI's taxonomy places the organism in Eukaryota, Metazoa, Chordata, Mammalia, Rodentia, Cricetidae. The record is from RefSeq and is a predicted model, not a curated record. The transcript has 4 exons.
UUUGUUUUCUCCAUUUGGUUACUAAAUGGAAAGUUGAGCCAAUCACCUGACUAAAUAGAUGCUCAAUUACAGAGCUUUCUAGACACGCCCAAUUGGAGCUCUAGCUGUGUUUGGUCUUAAGAAAGAAACAAGGGGCCUUCCUGCCUGAGCUGUCCUGGGCCCAAGCUCCCCCAACACUCAGUCCUUUUCUAGGCUCUCUUGGCGAAGGUGUAGAUCAGUUCCAUAUUCUCUUGGUAAGAUGAUGGGGAUAGGCAUGCUUUGGAGGGACAGAAGCAGAACAGGGAACCCACUGGGCGGUCCUGCUGCUUGGAAGGAAGAGGGAAAGAACAAUCUACCACAGGCUUAUGUGAAACUUCCCCAGGGGCCUCCUAAAAACCUUGGGUGGCUGUUCUAGAUUCUUUUCUUUCUUUUUCUUUUCUUUUUUUUUUUUUUUUUGUUUGUUUGUUCAAGACAGGAUUUCUCCACAUAGCCCCGGUUGACCUGGAACUUGCUGUGUAGAUCAGGAUGGCCUCCAAGUCUCUACCUCUCAACUGAUGGGAUGAAAGGAGUACAUUCCACCAGGACUGGAAGCAAGAACAGAAAAGUUUUAGUUUUUGGAGAACAAGGUGCAGAAUUCAGGAAAAAAAAUCUAAAUAUACAUAUAACAAAUAGAGCCCCUAGAGCAGAAAUUCUUUGUUAGUAGCCUGUGACUUUUGUCAGGGGUUUUCAUGAACCUCUAAAAUUAAGUGGAAAAUCUUGCAUUGAUGUGCAUAGACUGUGUCCUUACUGUAUAUCACAUUUGGAAAGGUUCUGCAAGCUUCAAAAAACUGGAUCACGAUUUGCCUAGGACAGCACUCACGAAUGACAGCUUUGCAAAGCGGGAGCCAGUGCCCGAUACUGAACCGAAUCCAGCUGGCCUGAGCACCUGACUCCACGACUGCUCCCCCCACAGCCACAGACUCCGCUGACUCUAUUUUUAAGAGAUAAGUCCAAAGGGUGUUAUUAUUCUCUGUCUCGAAGCACAGCCUGGGGUAGAGUGGAUAGACUGGGAAAAGAGCCUCUCAUAGUGACUCACCAUCACCCUCUCCUGAGUAAUGGUCUGCGGUCUCCAUCACUCACUCUUGCCAACACAUUGGAACAGACACAGUUGGGCCUGAGCCAGCAGCUGAAGGAUCCAGCAGAUGAGACGUCAUCACCUGGGUGUCCCUGGACAGAGAUGCUGGCUGUACCUGGAGAUGAACUCUGAGGUUGGUCUGACUUCAACCCUGAAGCUGCUGUGAUGGAGGUGACUGUCUGUGGGAGAAUCCAGGUGGAGGGAGAGGAAGUGGUGGCAGAUGGCAAGAAUAAGCCACGGCAGCCAUGUUGUACUGAUGGAAACACUAAAGAUUUAACAGAAGGCGGGAACAUGGCACACAAGUAGAUCUGCCUUGGGACAACGACGCAUGGAAAAUUUGACUGCAGCGCAUAUAAAGCCCUGACUAGCUCAGCAUGCCAAUGUGGCAUUGGCUGUUUAAUCAAAGGAGAUUAAAUGCAGAUAUUCUGCUUGCUCUUCAUUAAACAGCUUUGAGUGAAAGGUUAUAUGACACCCACGUUCACAGCCUCAGAUCUUUCUCCAGGUCCAUAAUAAUAACUUAUCAUCAAAUGAGCAGGAAAAUAACUCAGCUUCCAUACAGGGCAGAGUGGAACAGGCUGCUGCAAGUAUUCUUGCUCAGGGCAAUAUCCUUUAAGCAAGUUCUCAAUCAGGGAAAUUGGGCACGUGAUGACUGGCUGAGGACAGACUGCCCUGCCCUAGAAGCUUGGAAG